CAUGCUGUUGUUCUUGAGUUGUUAUCGAAUGCUGAAAUUAGAAGAUGUGCUAGAUACAUUUGGGCUAACUAAAGUCAAGAGUGGAAGGAAGAAGAGAGAAAAAAACAAUUUUGAAAAUACUCAAAGGCAAAUUUUGAAGUGAAGUUCAAAGAAGAACUUGAUUAUAUGAACCAACUUGGUAGGCAAGGUAAUGAUAUCAUUGGUGAUUUACUGCAUUAUCCUAAGGAGUCAUGGGUUAGGGCAUUCUUUAAAGAGCAUUGUAAGUGCGAUGCUGUUGAGAAUAACAUGUAUGAGGCCUUUAAUUCAUGGAUCUUAGUCCCUAGACAUAAAUCUAUCAUUACUAUGUUGGAGGAAAUUAGGAGAAAAAUCAUGACUAGAACUGUGGAUAUGAUUAAGUUUGCCAAUACUUGGAUAUGUGAUAUUGCACCUAAGGCUAGACUUAUUUUGGAGAGGAAUAAGGACAGGGCAAGGGUUUGCAAAAUGCUUUGAAAUGCUGAUGUUGGAUUUGAGGUUGGAGAAGAGGAGUAUAGGCAUACUUUGGACUUGACUAAUAGGUCAUAUAGUUGUAGAACUUGGCAGUUGAGAGGCAUUCCUUGCCAACAUGCCAUUUGUGCUUUGUAUUAUGUUGAAAAAGAGCCUGAACCUUAUGUGGAACAUUAGUAUAAGAAGGAAACCUUCAUGAAGGCUUAUAAUCACUUUAUCCAAUCAAUCUCCAAUAUGAAGAUGUGGCCUGAGACAAACAAUCCAAAGAUUGAACCCCCUAAACCUAAAAACAUACCUGCCAGGCCUGCAAAAAUUAGAAAGAAAGGCAAAGGAGAACCAGUAAAGAAAUUUGAAAAGAUGUCCAAAAAAGGUGGGACAAUAACAUGCUCCUUGUGUCAUCAACAAGGUCAUAACAGAAGAUUUUGCAAGAUUCCUAAUCCCAAUGCACAAGCACAUAGCCAAGGAUUUCAGUUUAGUGGUCAAAGUUCACAAGAAAGUUUCCAGCCUAAAUGCUCAAUCCAACUUGCACCUUCGAACUCCAAAAAAUCAACAUCAUGUAGCUCAAGUCAACCUGAAUCUUCAACUAUAAUUUGUGGUGAUACAAACAGAGUUAGAAGCUUGAAAGAAGCUACAAAAUCUACCUUUUGUGGUGAUACAAGAAUUCUUGUUACUGAAGGAAUCAAGAGUCAACUACCUCUUAGAAGUAGAGUAACUAUUGAGUAGAAGAGGAGAAGAGUUGGAACCACAAAGAAUGUUGACGAAGGUGGAUAAAAAAGGUCAAAGAAUGCUGAAUUUAGAAUCUACACUAGUGCAAGGGAAAUCCAAGUACUGAAUCCUGGGACAUCAAGUCAAAGGAUCCUACAAAGUGGUAUAACUUACAAGGAUGCAAGUUCUACAGGGGUUGAUGUUGGUUAUAAGCCUAGAGGCUCGAAAUGAAAAAACAAAUAUAUUGUCACCACUUAUCAAUUGCAGCAGAUGGCCAACAAAAAGAAGAAGAAGUAGUCAAGAAGAAGCAUUUUAGUCUGAUGGUGUAUUGUGAUUCUAUUGUGUAAUGUGCAGUACCAAAGAAUCAAUUUAGUGUUUGAAGUAAACAUUCUGGUUCUUUAAUUUUUGAA
Capsicum annuum is the source of this 1598-nucleotide long non-coding RNA. RefSeq lists it as uncharacterized. The record is from RefSeq and is a predicted model, not a curated record. Lineage: Eukaryota; Viridiplantae; Streptophyta; Magnoliopsida; Solanales; Solanaceae. The transcript has 3 exons.